UUGUGCUAUGCGGGGCGCUAGCGGUGCCUUGUCACUCGAAAUCCGCUAUAUGCGAGGCUGAAUCCCCAACAGAGGGUUUCUCUCCUGAACAUGCAGACAUGCUGACCGGCCGCCGCGCAACAGACGGUCACGAACCUCGUCAGGUCCGGAAGGAAGCAGCGAUAAGAGAUGCAGUCUGUGUCGUGGAUCGAUCCCGGUCAUAUUCAUGGCUCUUUUCAGGAAGGAAUUCGACGGCGGGUGCACAA
This 245-nucleotide signal recognition particle RNA is filed under the name Desulfobacteraceae bacterium IS3. Its description in RNAcentral is "signal recognition particle sRNA large type". It matches the Rfam family "Bacterial large signal recognition particle RNA". Rfam says of the family: The signal recognition particle (SRP) is a universally conserved ribonucleoprotein involved in the co-translational targeting of proteins to membranes. Archaeal SRP consists of a 7S RNA and homologues of the eukaryotic SRP19 and SRP54 proteins. Lineage: Bacteria; Pseudomonadati; Thermodesulfobacteriota; Desulfobacteria; Desulfobacterales; Desulfobacteraceae. The record is from RNAcentral.